Molecule: non-coding RNA, 849 nt
Organism: Chelonoidis abingdonii (Abingdon island giant tortoise)
Lineage: Eukaryota; Metazoa; Chordata; Testudines; Testudinidae
Source: RefSeq, a predicted model, not a curated record
UCUUCCUUUGCUGCCUAAACAUGAAGUCACAGUUCAACAAUGAUCCUAGUGAAAAUCUUCUGAGUUUCUAAAUGCUUUAUGUAACAGUACCUAUGCAGAAUCAUAUAUUGUAUUCAGUGGAGGUGCUGAAGGAGGAGUCUGAUGACAGGGCAUUUUCCCUGAAGGCUACACUAUUUGGGAAUUCAUUUCCCCCUACUGGUCUGCCAGAGCUUGGAUUCAUUAACUUUUAGUAGGCUUCAAAGUCCAUCUUUUCUUGCAGCCGUUUAAGAAGGUUGGGAGUCCAUGGAAGGAGGAAUAAGGUGGAAGUAUUAUGAUGUAGUUGGGUAGAGUGGUGUGUGUUUCUUUGUGGUAGAAUCUACCAACUAGGAACUUGUAAAUGGAGACUUGAUUAUUUAAAGUAUUACACUGGGAAAGUGAUUUUUCUAAUGGGGUGUAUCUGUAGUGCAAGGUGCAUAGGCUUCUGGAUAUGUGCUAGAGAAAUACACAACUGUUGGAGCUUUCACCUGUCAUAUGCCCAUAAAUUGGCAUCUGGGUGUACAAAACUGAGCAGUGAUUAUUGCACAAUUCUAACUUACAAGAGAAACUCUUGUGCAGUCUUGCAACUGAAAAGCUCCUACUUGGAUCCUCACUCCACCUUCGAGUCGAAGUGUGGAAUGAUUGCUCUGAUGUCUGCUGUCCUGAGGCAAAGGUCCCCUAUGGGAUGGCUGUUCUGUGAUCCUAUGAGGGUGUGGUGAGGGCCUUGCUGCCAACAGACUGUUUUGACACUUUUCUUCAUGCCACCCCUGGGUAGGGUGCAUGUUUGAGCAGGCAUAGGGUAGAGUGUAGGUCUGAGUGUGGAACAACUGUUUU